GACGAACGCUGGCGGCGUGCCUAAUACAUGCAAGUAGAACGCACAGUUUAUACCGUAGCUUGCUACACCAUAGACUGUGAGUUGCGAACGGGUGAGUAACGCGUAGGUAACCUGCCUGGUAGCGGGGGAUAACUAUUGGAAACGAUAGCUAAUACCGCAUAAUAUUGAUUAUUUCAUGAUAAUUGAUUGAAAGAUGCUAUUGCAUCACUACCAGAUGGACCUGCGUUGUAUUAGCUAGUAGGUGAGGUAACGGCUCACCUAGGCGACGAUACAUAGCCGAACUGAAAGGGUGAUAGGACACACUGGGACGGAGACACGGCCAAGACUCCUACGAGAGGCAGCAGUAGGGAAUCUUCGGCAAUGGAAGAAAGUCGGAACGAGCAACGCCGCGUGAGAGAAGAAGGUUGUCGGAUCGUAAAGCUCUGUUGGAAGAGAAGAACGGGUGUGAGAGUGGAAAGUUCACACUGUGACGGUAUCGUACCAGAAAGAGACGGCUAACUACGUG
RNAcentral lists this ribosomal RNA (505 nucleotides) under uncultured bacterium. Its description in RNAcentral is "partial 16S ribosomal RNA". It matches the Rfam family "Bacterial small subunit ribosomal RNA", at positions 28 to 507 of the family's 1533-position model. The record is from RNAcentral.